Molecule: ribosomal RNA, 372 nt
Filed under: uncultured organism
Description: partial 16S ribosomal RNA
Rfam family: Bacterial small subunit ribosomal RNA
Source: RNAcentral
GUAGGUGGCAAGCGUUGUCCGGAAUUAUUGGGCGUAAAGCGCGCGCAGGCGGUUCUUUAAGUCUGAUGUGAAAGCCCACGGCUCAACCGUGGAGGGUCAUUGGAAACUGGGGAACUUGAGUACAGAAGAGGAAAGCGGAAUUCCACGUGUAGCGGUGAAAUGCGUAGAGAUGUGGAGGAACACCAGUGGCGAAGGCGGCUUUCUGGUCUGUAACUGACGCUGAGGCGCGAAAGCGUGGGGAGCAAACAGGGAUUAGAUACCCUGGUAGUCCACGCCGUAAACGAUGAGUGCUAAGUGUUAGGGGGUUUCCGCCCCCUUAGUGCUGCAGCUAACGCAUUAAGCACUCCGCCUGGGGAUACGGCCGCAGGGCUG